Melanotaenia boesemani (Boeseman's rainbowfish) is the source of this 258-nucleotide long non-coding RNA. RefSeq lists it as uncharacterized. NCBI's taxonomy places the organism in Eukaryota, Metazoa, Chordata, Actinopteri, Atheriniformes, Melanotaeniidae. The record is from RefSeq and is a predicted model, not a curated record. The transcript is spliced from 2 exons.
GGAGGAUUUAUCUGGACCUUUCUGAAGGCUCAACCCAAAGUGGAAAACUCAGCACUAUUUAACCGUCUGAUCACACUAACACUGUUUCUGGUUCAGCAGUCCCAACAGCCCCCGGUGGAGUUUCCCAUCGCAGCCCUCUCUCUUCCUGAGAUCUCCCUGUUGGCUCCCAUCUCCUCUGCUGGCAAGCGGACUGAGUAACCAGAUUCUGCACCUCUGGAAAUAUUCUCUUCUCUGUAAUAAAUCUUCAUCCAAUCCUCA